GGGGGCUAGCGUUGCUCGGAAUCACUGGGCGUAAAGCGCACGUAGGCGGCUUUCUAAGUCAGGGGUGAAAUCCUGGAGCUCAACUCCAGAACUGCCUUUGAUACUGGAGAGCUUGAGUCCGGAAGAGGUGAGUGGAACUCCGAGUGUAGAGGUGAAAUUCGUAGAUAUUCGGAAGAACACCAGUGGCGAAGGCGGCUCACUGGUCCGGUACUGACGCUGAUGUGCGAAAGCGUGGGGAGCAAACAGG
Molecule: ribosomal RNA, 247 nt
Filed under: uncultured bacterium
Lineage: Bacteria
Description: partial 16S ribosomal RNA
Rfam family: Bacterial small subunit ribosomal RNA
Source: RNAcentral